Molecule: ribosomal RNA, 484 nt
Filed under: uncultured bacterium
Lineage: Bacteria
Description: partial 16S ribosomal RNA
Rfam family: Bacterial small subunit ribosomal RNA
Source: RNAcentral
AUUGAACGCUGGCGGCAUGCUUUACACAUGCAAGUCGAACGGCAGCGCGGGCUUCGGCCUGGCGGCGAGUGGCGAACGGGUGAGUAAUACAUCGAAACGUGCCCAGUAGUGGGGGAUAGCUCGGCGAAAGCCGGAUUAAUACCGCAUACGACCUGAGGGUGAAAGCGGGGGAUCUUCGGACCUCGCGCUAUUGGAGCGGCCGAUGGCAGAUUAGCUAGUUGGUGGGGUAAAGGCCUACCAAGGCGACGAUCUGUAGCUGGUCUGAGAGGACGACCAGCCACACUGGGACUGAGACAUGGCCCAGACUCCUACGGGAGGCAGCAGUGGGGAAUUUUGGACAAUGGGCGAAAGCCUGAUCCAGCAAUGCCGCGUGUGUGAUGAAGGCCUUCGGGUUGUAAAGCACUUUUGGCGGGAACGAAAAGGACUGUGCCAAUACCACGGUUCGAUGACGGUACCCGCAGAAUAAGCACCGGCUAACUACGUG